AUGUUUCUGAAGCUGGUAAAGACUCUGACUCUGAAGAAGAUACAAAAGGAGAAGAUGAUUUUGACUCUGACUCAGAUGGUGAUCCAGACUCUGAAGACAAUCAAGGUUCUGGAGAAAGUCCAAAUUCUGAAGCAAGUGCUUCUGAAGGGGAAAGUUCUGGUGUCCAAAGUUCUGAAGGUCCAGUUCAGAGGCAACAAAGAGUCAGAAGCAUCCCAAGAAGAUUUUCAGAGUUUGACAUGUUGCGAGACACUGAAGUAG
This is a non-coding RNA of Vicia faba (fava bean), 258 nucleotides long. Lineage: Eukaryota; Viridiplantae; Streptophyta; Magnoliopsida; Fabales; Fabaceae. The record is from the annotation of a GenBank genome assembly.